RNAcentral lists this ribosomal RNA (465 nucleotides) under Vreelandella stevensii. RNAcentral's name for it is "partial 16S ribosomal RNA". It matches the Rfam family "Bacterial small subunit ribosomal RNA", at positions 338 to 795 of the family's 1533-position model. The record is from RNAcentral. Lineage: Bacteria; Pseudomonadati; Pseudomonadota; Gammaproteobacteria; Oceanospirillales; Halomonadaceae.
CCUGCGGGUGGCUGCAGUGGGGAAUAUUGGACAAUGGGGGGAACCCUGAUCCUGCCAUGCCGCGUGUGUGAAGAAGGCCCUCGGGUUGUAAAGCACUUUCAGUGAGGAAGAACGCCUGGUGGUUAAUACCCAUCAGGAAAGACAUCACUCACAGAAGAAGCACCGGCUAACUCCGUGCCAGCAGCCGCGGUAAUACGGAGGGUGCGAGCGUUAAUCGGAAUUACUGGGCGUAAAGCGCGCGUAGGUGGCUUGAUAAGCCGGUUGUGAAAGCCCCGGGCUCAACCUGGGAACGGCAUCCGGAACUGUCAAGCUAGAGUGCAGGAGAGGAAGGUAGAAUUCCCGGUGUAGCGGUGAAAUGCGUAGAGAUCGGGAGGAAUACCAGUGGCGAAGGCGGCCUUCUGGACUGACACUGACACUGAGGUGCGAAAGCGUGGGUAGCAAACAGGAUUAGAUACCCGUGUAGUC